Molecule: small RNA, 1432 nt
Filed under: Pongo abelii (Sumatran orangutan)
Lineage: Eukaryota; Metazoa; Chordata; Mammalia; Primates; Hominidae
Description: retained intron
Source: RNAcentral
CUGAGAUCGCGGUAGAUGCGCGCGCCGACGCCUGGCUUGGGAUGAUAAAGUGACGUUGGCUGCCGCAGAAGGAGUUCACCACCUACGACUUCUCCAGCAUGUCUGCUGAAAAUAAUCAGUUAUCAGGAGCAUCACCUCCUCACCCUCCCACAACUCCCCAAUGUUCCACACAGACCUUGCCUUCAAAGAAAGAGGAUACUGAAGUAGAACUAGAUGAGGAAAGUCUACAGGAUGAAUCUCCAUUUUCUCCAGAGGGAGAGUCUCUGGAGGACGAAGAGUAUCUGGAGGAGGAAGAGGAUCUGGAAGAGGAAGAGUAUCUGAGGAAAGAAGAAUACUUGAAGGAGGAAGAGUAUCUGGGGAAGGAAGAGCAUCUGGAGGAGGAAGAGUAUCUGGAGAAGGCAGGGUAUCUGGAGGAGGAAGAGUAUAUUGAAGAGGAAGAGUAUCUGGGGAAGGAAGGGUAUCUGGAGAAGGAAGAGUAUCUGGAGAAGGAAGAGUAUCUGGAGAAGGAAGAGUACCUGGGGAAGGAAGAGCAUCUGGAGGAGGAAGAGUAUCUGGGGAAGGAAGGGUAUCUGGAGAAGGAAGAGUAUAUUGAAGAGGAAGAUUAUCUGGGGAAGAAAAGGUAUCUGGAGGAGGAGGAGUAUCUGGGGAAGGAGUCAUAUCUAGAAGAGGAAAAGGCUCUGGAGAAGGAAGAGAAUCUGGAGGAGGAAGGAGCUCUGGAGGAGGAAGAGAAUCUGGAUGGAAAAGAAAAUCUGUAUAAAAAGUAUCUGAAAGAACCCAAGGCAAGUUAUUCAUCACAAACCAUGCUUCUUCGUGAUGCAAGGAGUCCAGAUGCUGGCCCCUCUCAGGUGACCACCUCCUUGACUGUCCCGUUGACUUUCACUGCCCCUUCUCCCGUCUCUGAAUCUGCCACAGAGUCUUCUGAGUUGCUUCUGACAUUGUACAGGAGGAGCCAGGCCAGUCAAACGGACUGGUGCUACGACGGAACUGCCGUAAAAUCUUUAAAAUCGAAAUCAAAACCAGAGCAAGAAACCACCACGAAGCCUGCUCCGGAAGAGCGUGUGCAAAAAAAGGAAGAAAAUGUCGUGGAGUUUGCUUCUAAAGAGAACUUUUGGGAUGGUAUAACAGAUGAGUCCAUUGACAAGCUGGAAGUGGAAGACUUAGAUGAAAACUUUUUGAACAGCUCCUAUCAGACAGUAUUUAAAACAGUAAUCAAAGAAAUGGCUGCUCGCAAUGAACUGGAAGAGGAUUUUGACAUUCCCCUAACUAAGCUACUGGAAAGUGAAAACAGAUGGAAACUGGUAAUUAUGUUGAAGAAAAAUUAUGAAAAGUUCAAGGAAACAAUCUUAUGGAUUAAGAGGAGACGUGAAGGUAGGCACCACUCCACCAAUUUCCACCACGUGCUGGCUCUCCUGUCCGCAUCCCACCGCCUCUC